UGAGGAAUAUUGGUCAAUGGGCGCGAGCCUGAACCAGCCGAGUAGCGUGAAGGAUGAAGGUCCUACGGAUUGUAAACUUCUUUUAUAAGGGAAUAAAGUCACCCACGUGUGGGUGUUUGUAUGUACUUUAUGAAUAAGGAUCGGCUAACUCCGUGCCAGCAGCCGCGGUAAUACGGAGGAUCCGAGCGUUAUCCGGAUUUAUUGGGUUUAAAGGGAGCGUAGAUGGAUGUUUAAGUCAGUUGUGAAAGUUUGCGGCUCAACCGUAAAAUUGCAGUUGAUACUGGAUAUCUUGAGUGCAGUUGAGGCAGGCGGAAUUCGUGGUGUAGCGGUGAAAUGCUUAGAUAUCACGAAGAACUCCGAUUGCGAAGGCAGCCUGCUAAGCUGCAACUGACAUUGAGGCUCGAAAGUGUGGGUAUCAAACAGGAUUAGAUACCCUGGUAGUCCACACGGUAAACGAUGAAUACUCGCUGUUUGCGAUAUACUGCAAGCGGCCAAGCGAAAGCGUUAAGUAUUCCACCUGGGGAGUACGCCGGCAACGGUGAAACUCAAAGGAAUUGACGGGGGCCCGCACAAGCGGAGGAACAUGUGGUUUAAUUCGAUGAUACGCGAGGAACCUUACCCGGGCUUAAAUUGCAGAUGAAUUACGGUGAAAGCCGUAAGCCGCAAGGCAUCUGUGAAGGUGCUGCAUGGUUGUCGUCAGCUCGUGCCGUGAGGUGUCGGCUUAAGUGCCAUAACGAGCGCAACCCUUGUUGUCAGUUACUAACAGGUUUUGCUGAGGACUCUGACAAGACUGCCAUCGUAAGAUGCGAGGAAGGUGGGGAUGACGUCAAAUCAGCACGGCCCUUACGUCCGGGGCUACACACGUGUUACAAUGGGGGGUACAGAGGGCCGCUACCACGCGAGUGGAUGCCAAUCCCCAAAACCUCUCUCAGUUCGGACUGGAGUCUGCAACCCGACUCCACGAAGCUGGAUUCGCUAGUAAUCGCGCAUCAGCCACGGCGCGGUGAAUACGUUCCC
This 1017-nucleotide ribosomal RNA is filed under the name uncultured bacterium. RNAcentral describes it as "bacterial SSU rRNA". It matches the Rfam family "Bacterial small subunit ribosomal RNA", at positions 355 to 1375 of the family's 1533-position model. The record is from RNAcentral.